Molecule: non-coding RNA, 73 nt
Organism: Danio rerio (zebrafish)
Lineage: Eukaryota; Metazoa; Chordata; Actinopteri; Cypriniformes; Danionidae
Source: Rfam
GCCUGGCUAGCUCAGUCGGUAGAGCUCGAGACUCUUAAUGUCAGGGUCGUGGGUUCGAGCCCCUCGUUGGGCG